Molecule: ribosomal RNA, 301 nt
Filed under: uncultured bacterium
Lineage: Bacteria
Description: partial 16S ribosomal RNA
Rfam family: Bacterial small subunit ribosomal RNA
Source: RNAcentral
CAGUCGCCGCGGGAAUACGGAGGGGGCUAGCGUUGUUCGGAAUUACUGGGCGUAAAGCGCACGUAGGCGGCUUUACAAGUCAGAAGUGAAAGCCUGGUGCUCAACACCAGAAUUGCCUUUGAGACUGUAUCGCUUGAACGUCGGAGAGGUGAGUGGAAUUCCGAGUGUAGAGGUGAAAUUCGUAGAUAUUCGGAAGAACACCAGUGGCGAAGGCGGCUCACUGGACGACUGUUGACGCUGAGGUGCGAAAGCGUGGGGAGCAAACAGGAUUAGAUACCCCUGUAGUCCCUGUCUCUUAUAC